AACGAACGCUGGCGGCAGGCCUAACACAUGCAAGUCGAGCGCGCCCUUCGGGGUGAGCGGCGGACGGGUGAGUAACGCGUGGGAACGUGCCAUUCUCUGCGGAAUAGCCUCGGGAAACUGAGAGUAAUACCGCAUACGCCCUUUGGGGGAAAGAUUUAUCGGAGAAGGAUCGGCCCGCGUUGGAUUAGGUAGUUGGUGGGGUAAUGGCCCACCAAGCCGACGAUCCAUAGCUGGUUUGAGAGGAUGAUCAGCCACACUGGGACUGAGACACGGCCCAGCCUCCUACGGGAGGCAGCAGUGGGGAAUCUUAGACAAUGGGGGCAACCCUGAUCUAGCCAUGCCGCGUGAGUGAUGAAGGCCUUAGGGUUGUAAAGCUCUUUCAGCUGGGAAGAUAAUGACGGUACCAGCAGAAGAAGCCCCGGCUAACUCCGUG
RNAcentral lists this ribosomal RNA (433 nucleotides) under uncultured bacterium. RNAcentral describes it as "partial 16S ribosomal RNA". It matches the Rfam family "Bacterial small subunit ribosomal RNA", at positions 29 to 507 of the family's 1533-position model. The record is from RNAcentral.